RNAcentral lists this long non-coding RNA (258 nucleotides) under Zostera marina. RNAcentral describes it as "long non-coding RNA (ZMAR_LNC002158)". Lineage: Eukaryota; Viridiplantae; Streptophyta; Magnoliopsida; Alismatales; Zosteraceae. The record is from RNAcentral.
GUAGCAGUUAUGGCCACCAAAGUCAUAGCUCACGCCCUCAAUCCGGUAGCAGUUAUAGCCACCAAAGUCAUAGCUCACGCCCUCAAUCCAGUAGCAGUUAUGGCCACCAAAGUCAUAACUCACACUCUCAGUCUGGUAACAGUUAUGGCCACCAAAGCCAUAGCUUACGCUCUCAAUCCUAUGACAGUGAUGGCAACCAGAGCCACAGUUCACACUCACAAUCAAGUGCGUCACACUAAUAGUGAGGAACUAUCAUCU